This 378-nucleotide ribosomal RNA is filed under the name Triticum aestivum (bread wheat). RNAcentral's name for it is "partial small subunit ribosomal RNA". The record is from RNAcentral. Lineage: Eukaryota; Viridiplantae; Streptophyta; Magnoliopsida; Poales; Poaceae.
AUGAUAUGCUUCUUCGCAGUCGAGUGGCACUUUGUAGACCGUGUGGCAAGACAAUUUGGGAAAAGACAAGGUAUUCCAAUUGAGGAGAGCAAGGAGGAAAUGCUAUCUCUGCAUCGGUUCGAUCGAAGGAACAAUCAGGAUAUAUCGGAUUGGGCAAACAAACACCGUGCAUGGAUAGAAAUUUGGAAUCAAAGAGACACGCUAGUGCAAUCAGAGAAUAGGCCUCACAAUCAGAUAGCAUAUCAGAAGUAUCAAGUGUGGUAUGCGGAUCGUUACCGGUUGAAGCUGAAGCCAGGUUGGACUCACGACGAGUGGUCGAGUUGGUGUCUGAAGACCCGGAGACUGCAGAAGGUUAUAGUACCUUCAACAUGGCUGUGA